Molecule: long non-coding RNA, 143 nt
Organism: Fundulus heteroclitus (mummichog)
Lineage: Eukaryota; Metazoa; Chordata; Actinopteri; Cyprinodontiformes; Fundulidae
Exons: 2
Source: RefSeq, a predicted model, not a curated record
CAAGGCGUAUCCGUCAUCGAUAGGGACACUUUAGGUCAUAUGCGAUGAUUAUAGAGAGAUUUUAUUCGUUUUGCUGGUGGCUAUCUUGUUUUCUGCAAAGUCAUUUCAGCAGGUAGGGAUGAAUCAAGCACUGAUAAAAAAAA